This 253-nucleotide ribosomal RNA is filed under the name uncultured bacterium. RNAcentral's name for it is "partial 16S ribosomal RNA". It matches the Rfam family "Bacterial small subunit ribosomal RNA", at positions 524 to 776 of the family's 1533-position model. The record is from RNAcentral.
UACGUAGGGUGCGAGCGUUGUCCGGAAUUAUUGGGCGUAAAGAGCUCGUAGGCGGUCUGUCGCGUCUGCUGUGAAAACUCAGGGCUUAACCCUGAGCUUGCAGUGGGUACGGGCAGACUAGAGUGCGGUAGGGGAGACUGGAAUUCCUGGUGUAGCGGUGAAAUGCGCAGAUAUCAGGAGGAACACCGGUGGCGAAGGCGGGUCUCUGGGCCGUAACUGACGCUGAGGAGCGAAAGCCAGGGGAGCAAACGGG